This 244-nucleotide ribosomal RNA is filed under the name uncultured Staphylococcus sp. RNAcentral's name for it is "partial 16S ribosomal RNA". It matches the Rfam family "Bacterial small subunit ribosomal RNA", at positions 96 to 334 of the family's 1533-position model. The record is from RNAcentral. Lineage: Bacteria; Bacillati; Bacillota; Bacilli; Caryophanales; Staphylococcaceae.
CGGCGGACGGGUGAGUAACACGUGGAUAACCUACCUAUAAGACUGGGAUAACUUCGGGAAACCGGAGCCAAUACCGGAUAAUAUAUUGAACCGCAUGGUUCAAUAGUGAAAGACGGUUUUGCUGUCACUUAUAGAUGGAUCCGCGCCGCAUUAGCUAGUUGGUAAGGUAACGGCUUACCAAGGCAACGAUGCGUAGCCGACCUGAGAGGGUGAUCGGCCACACUGGAACUGAGACACGGUCCAG